This 453-nucleotide ribosomal RNA is filed under the name uncultured Acidobacteriota bacterium. RNAcentral describes it as "bacterial SSU rRNA". It matches the Rfam family "Bacterial small subunit ribosomal RNA", at positions 418 to 889 of the family's 1533-position model. The record is from RNAcentral. Lineage: Bacteria; Pseudomonadati; Acidobacteriota.
UCGGGGUGUAAAGCUCUUUCAUUAGGGAAGAUAAUGACAGUACCUGACGAAUCAGCUGCGGCUCACUACGUGCCACCACCCGCGGUAAUAACUAGGCGGCUAACGUUGUUCGGAAUUACUGGGCGUAAAGGGUGUGUAAGCGGUUCUUUAAGUUUGGUGUGAAAUCUCCCGGCUCAACCGGGAGGGUGCGCCGAAUACUGAGGGACUAGAGUGUGGGAGAGGAAAGUGGAAUUCCUGGUGUAGCGGUGAAAUGCAUAUAUAUCAGGAGGAACACCAGUGGUGUAUACGGCUUUCUGGACCAUUACUGACGCUGAGACACGAAAGCGUGGGUAGCAAACAGGAUUAAAUACCCUGGUAGUCCACGCCCUAAACGAUGCAUAUUUGGUGUGGGUCAUUCAAUUGAUCCGUGCCGGAGCUAACGCGUUAAAUAUGCCGCCUGGGGAGUACAGUCGC